Molecule: long non-coding RNA, 1695 nt
Organism: Amblyraja radiata (thorny skate)
Lineage: Eukaryota; Metazoa; Chordata; Chondrichthyes; Rajiformes; Rajidae
Exons: 2
Source: RefSeq, a predicted model, not a curated record
UAGGCUGAGAAGAUUAGUUUAACUUGGCAUCAUGUUCAGCAUGGACAUUGUGGACUGAAGGGCCUGUUCUUGUGCUGUACUGUUCUAUGUUCGAUAUUCUAUAUCUCUACCACGUGAUAGCAGAAAGUAAUUAAAAAUGAAAGAAGGUAAGGACACUGCAUGAGGAUCUCCUGCCGUGACGUUCCGGGUAAGAGAUUUAUAUUAUUUCAUGUGUUAAAUACACUAUUGCUGUGCUUAUUAAUGUCACUCCAUUUUGUGUUAUAAUAUGAUGCUUAACCACUGCAUUAUAUCAGUCUUGUGAUACAUUACUAUGCUAUGUCAGUGGUACAUUAUUAUAAAACAUUGCUACAGUGCUAUAAAGUACUAUAUUACACAAAACUUUCUUCUUGUACUAUAUUACUGCAUGAUAUCACUGGAUAACAUUUGUGUGCCAUGAAGUAUGAUAUUCUGCACUGUAUUUUGUGCUAAUUUACCAUACAUCUAUUAAUUAUUAUUUUGUUACAGUGCUGUACCAUCUGAUAAUGAAAGUACUGCUCUAGUAAUGAUAAGGAUGACACAAAAUCACUGUGGGGUGAAUAUGGAGUGAAGCAAACAUCACCACAGUCAGCACAUCUUCAGUCAGCAGGGUCGCACAGUCCAAAAGUACCCACUGCCCGAUGUAAAGAGAAGCCUCUUUGCAUUCUAGGGAGAGGGGAGUAAUGGAGCCACACGCUACUAGCUGUGUUCUCCUGUUGCACGGUUGAGGAAGACUAAGCCACAGGGCCAAACCCGAAACCGCCAGGACUAUUGUGUGGUCAAGAUUUAUCUGCUUGGAAAGGAGCCCCAGACAGCCAGCACCUCUACCUGAGGCUGAGACUGAGUGGCUGGGAUAAGCCUGAGAUGCCAGAACCUCUUCCCGCCUACAGAUAAUGAAGGAUUGCUUAUCCCCCACAUGCACGCACAGAGGCAAAGACUUAGCCGCCGGGAUAAUCCAGAAACUGUGAAUGUCGCUUCUUCAAGCCCAAAGCUGAGCCGCCAGGAAGAAACCUGAACUGUCAGCACCUCCUCUCGAGGCAAGUGUGAACUGCAGGAAGAAGCCUGAGACUGCCAUGCCAUCCUGUGAAGACCAGCACUAAGCUGCCGGGCCAAGCUGAGACGGCCAGCGUUAUGCGCUCUGAUGGUGAGGGACAGUCUGGGACUUUCUGUAAAUAGAAUAAAUCAUGAGUUCACCCUACUGUGAGUGUCGGUGUGGUCACUGCUGAACCCAGAGUCAGUCCCUGAUGCCACAGUACAUUUUCUAAGUUAUCUUUAUUUGACACAAUUGUGUUAUAUCAGUUAUGAGAAACAAACCUUUAGGCGAGAGCAUCUACUUUCAAUUAUGCAUUGCAUCUAAAUUGCGAAUAAUAAAUGACAUAUAAUCUGGUGUAUAAGUUGCUUCCUCCAUAUUGUGAAUUAUAGUUUUAGGAAAGAACAUUUAUUUGGUUUAAAAUACAUUUAAAAUUUCCCCAGCAUGUUUCAGGACAUAAAUCAGUUAAAAUCUUGAAAUCUUAUUUAUGCCAUUAAGAUAGUACUGUGAUAAUAGAAUCAUAGAGAGUUUAUGGUACCGAAACAAAACAUUCAGCCCAACUUAAAAUGUACCUGCUUUCUGUAAAGAUUCAUUAAAUAUAAGCAAACAUGAAAAUGUAAACGUCAUUAAAUCAUAUCUUAGAAAAUAAA